AUCUAUCCUAUACUGGGGGAUAGCCCGAUGAAAGUUGGAUUAAUACCGCAUAUAGCUAUAUAGUUGCAUGAUUAUGUAGUGAAAGAUUUAUUGGUAUAGGAGGAGUCUGCGGCACAUUAGCUAGUAGGUGAGGUAAAGGCUUACCUAGGCGACGAUGUGUAGCCGGUCUGAGAGGAUGAACGGCCACAAUGGAACUGAGACACGGUCCAUACUCCUACGGGAGGCAGCAGUGGGGAAUAUUGCACAAUGGGGGAAACCCUGAUGCAGCAACGCCGCGUGAGUGAAGAAGGUUUUCGGAUUGUAAAGCUCUGUUAGCAGGGAAGAGGAAGGACGGUACCUGCAGAGGAAGCCACGGCUAACUACGUGCCAGCAGCCGCGGUAAUACGUAGGUGGCAAGCGUUGUUCGGAAUAACUGGGCGUAAAGGAUGCGUAGGCGGUUAAACAAGUUAUAUGUUAAAUAUAUAGGCUUAACCUGUAGAAAGCAUAUAAAACUGUUUAACUAGAGUGCAGGAGAGGUAAGUGGAAUUCCU
This 530-nucleotide ribosomal RNA is filed under the name uncultured bacterium. RNAcentral describes it as "bacterial SSU rRNA". It matches the Rfam family "Bacterial small subunit ribosomal RNA", at positions 124 to 671 of the family's 1533-position model. The record is from RNAcentral.